GGAGCAAAAGAAGAGAGGCAACUACUACUACUUCAAUGGCUAAUCAUCCUUUGUUUCAUAACGGGGAUAGAGGAGGACAAUCAAAGUCACAUGUGGAGGAGGGAAACGUGUAAACCAUGGACAACAUGAUUUGAAACAUACCCACGGGACCUUUAGGGAUUGUUGUGUUACUGCAGGUGACCUAAGGUUGGCUCAUGAAGAGACAAGUGAGAGUGUUGCACACCAGAGAGAUGGGAAGGAGGCGACCUUCUCGUCCUUUUCUCGUUCCCAGUCAGUGUCUUGCUGUGUGAUGGCUCAACAAUGGAGGUUGUCAUAUAAUUGCAUCCAAAUUCAGAUCUUCUCUUCUCAGAAAGUGUGUUGGGGCAUUAUUCGUGUAUUGCUAUUGUUUACCAAAAUAGCAUUAUUAAUUUGUCAGGGUGAAAUAGCAAAGUGAGAUGUACUGUAGUCAAUACAGCUAUCAGGAAUAAAAUCUUGCGUGAUUAUUUGGGUAGCUUCUUCACCACUGAUAUCACAAUACAGUAAGUGCACACCAAAGUACAUAAGCAAAGGCAAUUGAUUUUUAUUUUUAGUGCUCCAAACAAUCCUGAUGCCAGCAAAUGCAUUAGUGAAUCUCUGUGUUAUAAAAUCUAAUUUACUUUGUGUUAUCCACUUUAAAAUGCAAAUAUUUUGAUUGUGCCUAUUUUAUGCAGUGUGUAGAGAGAUUGGCCAACACUAUCCUGUCAAGUAAUCAAAUUUACCAUCACAUCUUUUUAGCAUCUGUAGCAUUUUGUUUCUGCCUCUUGCAACAGUUUCCAAAUUAUAAUCUAAAGAGUGGAGGUUUCAGUUUAAUCUGUUUAUUACUAUACUUCAUUGACCAAGAUGCAAAAAUAUAAGCAGCAUUACAGAUACCACUGAGUACACUGAGGACAUAGCCUCAGAUUUUUUUCUGGGAAUCUCUGGGAUUUAGUAACCUGGCAGUUUACACUGAACGGCUCAAUAUAAAACACUGGGGGAUAUUUUAUGGCAUAAUUCCAUUAUUUAGCAGACUCAGUGUAUAGGCCAUAAAGUUAGUAAAUAAAGGAUUUAUUACAGUAUUACUCUACCAGAAUUUUAUGGCAGUGUGGAGGUAGCUUUGAAACAGCAGUUUUCAAAAAAUAUUUUUUUGUCUUCCUUGCAAGGCCCAGGGUGCAAGUAUGACUAUUUUUACAGUUCUGGAGUUCAUUUGAGCAAAAUGCCCAUAAUAGAAAACAGUGGUGGAAGAAAUAGUCAUAGUUUCUAAAUGCAAAAUGUUUUAUUACAAGAUGACUUUUAAUUUGUAAUUGCAAUUACUUUUAAUUAAUGUAUCUGG
Monopterus albus (swamp eel) is the source of this 1327-nucleotide long non-coding RNA. RefSeq lists it as uncharacterized. The record is from RefSeq and is a predicted model, not a curated record. NCBI's taxonomy places the organism in Eukaryota, Metazoa, Chordata, Actinopteri, Synbranchiformes, Synbranchidae. The transcript has 3 exons.